AUGGACAGAUUUAGGGUGCAUGGACUAUUCAUUAAAAUGGAGUUUAGGUGUAUUAGUGACGGACCUGAUUUAAUAUUCAGUCUUAAGUAGAGAUGUAAAGAAGUAAUUAACAAGGUUUAGUUUUAAACAUAUAAUUACUGGACUAAUAGACAAUUAAAUAUAAGUGCAGGUUAUCAGGAUAAUACAGCUUCACAUGUUCAAGGGUGAAACUGCAACUUCACCAAUUAAAACACUGAUGGGCUAAUGAAUUAAAUGACGAAUGGGCCGAGGUGUUUAGACAAUGGUGAAAGAGGUCCAGUAACAAAUUAGUUAAUUAAAGAUAGUUAAUUAGUUAGUUUGUUGUUAAGGUUGAUCUGAUUGUUUUUAGUCAAUAAGUAGUGA
Molecule: long non-coding RNA, 381 nt
Filed under: Zostera marina
Lineage: Eukaryota; Viridiplantae; Streptophyta; Magnoliopsida; Alismatales; Zosteraceae
Description: long non-coding RNA (ZMAR_LNC005498)
Source: RNAcentral